CGAAAGCCUGACGGAGCAACGCCGCGUGUGGGAAGAAGGCCUUUGGGCUGUCAACCACUUUUCUCAGGGAAGAAGUUCUGACGGUACCUGAGGAAUCAGCCUCGGCUAACUCCGUGCCAGCAGCCGCGGUAAUACGGAGGAGGCAAGCGUUAUUCGGAAUUAUUGGGCGUAAAGCGUCCGCAGGUGGCGAUUCAAGUCUGCUGUCAAAGCACGGGGCUUAACUCCGUUAAGGCAGUGGAAACUGAAUGGCUAGAGUGCCGUAGGGGUAGAGGGAAUUCCCAGUGUAGCGGUGAAAUGCGUAGAGAUUGGGAAGAACACCGGUGGCGAAAGCGCUCUACUGGGUCGCACCUGACCCUCAGGGACGAAAGCUAAGGUAGCG
RNAcentral lists this ribosomal RNA (379 nucleotides) under uncultured cyanobacterium. RNAcentral describes it as "bacterial SSU rRNA". It matches the Rfam family "Bacterial small subunit ribosomal RNA", at positions 376 to 770 of the family's 1533-position model. Lineage: Bacteria; Bacillati; Cyanobacteriota. The record is from RNAcentral.